GGAUCAUUAAUGAGUUAGGGUCUUCUAGGCCCGACCUCCCACCCUAUGUUUACUUGACCCUUGUUGCUUCGGCGGACCCGUCUUGGUAAAACGAGACCGCCGGAGGACGUCUUUCGAGACGUUCUCUGGCCCGCGUCCGCCGGGGACAUACACCUAAAAAUUCUUGAAUUAUCAACCAUGUCUUCUGAAUUAUAAUUAUAAAUUAAACAAAACUUUCAACAACGGAUCUCUUGGUUCUGGCAUCGAUGAAGAACGCAGCGAAAUGCGAUAAGUAAUGCGAAUUGCAGAAUUCCAGUGAGUCAUCGAAUCUUUGAACGCACAUUGCGCCCUUUGGUAUUCCGAAGGGCAUGCCUGUUCGAGCGUCAUUAUCACCCCUCAAACCCUGGGUUGCCUUUAACCGGGCCUCCCUAAAGUUUGGCGUUGGACGGUUGGUUCGAGUAAUCGAACCCCUCCCAAAGACAAUGACGGAGUCCUGUUCGACCCUCGGUACAUGGAGCACCUUUGCGGGAGCACGUGCCGGACCCCUAAAAGCGGUCGGGAGGACAUACGGUCACCACCUAUAUUUUUAACAAGGUUGACCUCGGAUCAGGUAGGGAUACCCGCUGAACUUAAGCAUAUCAAUAAGCGGAGGAAAAGAAACCAACAGGGAUUGCCUCAGUAACGGCGAGUGAAGCGGCAACAGCUCAAAUUUGAAAUCUGGCUUCCUUUGGGAGUCCGAGUUGUAAUUUGCAGAGGAUGUUUCGGGUACCGCUCCGGUUUAAAUUUCUUGGAACAGAAUGUCAGAGAGGGUGAGAAUCCCGUCUUGGACCGGCGGUAGGGCCCAUGUGAAACUCCCUCGACGAGUCGAGUUGUUUGGGAAUGCAGCUCAAAAUGGGUGGUAAAUUUCAUCUAAAGCUAAAUAUUGGCCAGAGACCGAUAGCGCACAAGUAGAGUGAUCGAAAGAUGAAAAGCACUUUGAAAAGAGAGUUAAACAGUAUGUGAAAUUGUUGAAAGGGAAGCGCUUGCGACCAGACUUGUACGCGGCGGUUCCCCGUCCUUUUGGGCGGGCUAUUCCGUCGUGUUCAGGCCAACAUCGGUUCUGGGGGUUGGUUAAAGGCUUAGGGAAUGUAUCUACCCUUUGGGCGUAGACUUAUAGCCCUAGGUGUCAUACAACCUCCCGGGACCGAGGAACGCGCUUCGGCUCGGAUGUUGGCGUAAUGGUCGUAAGCGACCCGUCUUGAAACACGGACCAAGGAGUCUAACAUUUAUGCGAGUGUUUGGGUGUCAAACCCGGAACGCGGAAUGAAAGUGAACGGAGGUAGGAAGCUUUUAGCUGCACUAUCGACCGAUCCUGAUGUCUUCGGAUGGAUUUGAGUAAGAGCAUAACUGUUGGGACCCGAAAGAUGGUGAACUAUGCCUGAAUAGGGUGAAGCCAGAGGAAACUCUGGUGGAGGCUCGCAGCGGUUCUGACGUGCAAAUCGAUCGUCAAAUUUAGGUAUAGGGGCGAAAGACUAAUCGAACCAU
Molecule: ribosomal RNA, 1503 nt
Filed under: Capronia sp. CBS 164.92
Lineage: Eukaryota; Fungi; Ascomycota; Eurotiomycetes; Chaetothyriales; Herpotrichiellaceae
Description: eukaryotic LSU rRNA
Rfam family: Eukaryotic large subunit ribosomal RNA (bases 576-1503)
Source: RNAcentral